This 66-nucleotide transfer RNA is filed under the name Paragonimus kellicotti. RNAcentral describes it as "tRNA-Val". The record is from RNAcentral. Lineage: Eukaryota; Metazoa; Platyhelminthes; Trematoda; Plagiorchiida; Troglotrematidae.
UGGCGAGAUAGUUUAAUGAAAAUGUCUAUCUUACGCGUAGAAGUUGGUCGGUGUGCCUAUCGUCAG